GACGAACGCUGGCGGCGUGCUUAACACAUGCAAGUCGAACGGAAAGGCCCCUUUGGGGGUACUCGAGUGGCGAUCGGGUGAGUAACACGUGAGUAACCUGCCCUUGACUUCGGGAUAACUUAAGGAAACUGGGGCUAAUACCGGAUAGGAAUCCUUGCUGCAUGGUGGGGGUUGGAAAGCUUCGGCGGUUUUGGAUGGACUCGCGGCUUAUCAGCUUGUUGGUGGGGUAGUGGCUUACCAAGGCUUUGACGGGUAGCCGGCCUGAGAGGGCGACCGGCCACAUUGGGACUGAGAUACGGCCCAGACUCCUACGGGAGGCAGCAGUGGGGAAUAUUGCACAAUGGGCGGAAGCCUGAUGCAGCAACGCCGCGUGCGGGAUGACGGCCUUCGGGUUGUAAACCGCUUUCAGCAGGGGCGAAGCUUGUGGUGACGGUACCUGCAGAAGAAGCACCGGCUAACUACGU
This 464-nucleotide ribosomal RNA is filed under the name uncultured bacterium. RNAcentral describes it as "partial 16S ribosomal RNA". It matches the Rfam family "Bacterial small subunit ribosomal RNA", at positions 28 to 506 of the family's 1533-position model. The record is from RNAcentral.